UGGGGAAUAUUGCACAAUGGGCGAAAGCCUGAUGCAGCGACGCCGCGUGAGGGAUGACGGCCUUUGGGUUGUAAACCUCUUUCAGUAGGGACGAAGCGCAAGUGACGGUACCUGCAGAAGAAGCACCGGCUAACUACGUGCCAGCAGCCGCGGUAAUACGUAGGGUGCGAGCGUUGUCCGGAAUUACUGGGCGUAAAGAGCUCGUAGGCGGUUUGUCACGUCGUCUGUGAAAUCCUAGGGCUUAACCCUGGACGUGCAGGCGAUACGGGCUGACUUGAGUACUACAGGGGAGACUGGAAUUUCUGGUGUAGCGGUGGAAUGCACAGAUAUCAGGAAGAACACCGAUGGCGAAGGCAGGUCUCUGGGUAGUAACUGACGCUGAGGAGCGAAAGCAUGGGUAGCGAACAGG
RNAcentral lists this ribosomal RNA (409 nucleotides) under bacterium. Its description in RNAcentral is "partial 16S ribosomal RNA". It matches the Rfam family "Bacterial small subunit ribosomal RNA", at positions 355 to 776 of the family's 1533-position model. The record is from RNAcentral.